GUUUGUGGUGCUUCGCUCCAGCAGCCACGGAACAUGGAUCUGAGCCCCGAGAGAUUCCUGGAUGUGGGAGACCCACCCUCUGUCCUUGGUGGUUGGUGAGGGCUGCAGGAUUGGGGCUUCUGAUGUUAUUGUCCUGGGGACAGACUCCCUGGGCAGGAUCACGGAGGGGGCAGACUGAGCUGGGACAAGGGGCAUUCGGGCCUCGGGCAGUGGGGCAGGCCCUAGAGUGGCAGCCAGUCAUCACAGUGAUUUCCCUGAACGGGCAAUGUUCCUUUCCAGGCUUAGUGCCCUGGCGGCCUCGGGGAAGUGGAGAAAAGAGAGGGGCACCAGGGUUACGAUUCUCAGCUUACUGAGGUCUGAUGUGAAUGGCAUGCAAGCCUCUGGCCAGGACCGGCCAGUGCCACCUUCUGAGCAUGUUCUGAGUGUUGACUCUGCGCCGGGCACGGGAGAUGAGGCUCCGGCUCUGUGGAGCUGCAUCCGGCUGGGGAGAGAUGGACAAGAGAGAGCAAACACCCCCGUGCCGGGCUUCACAUGUUGAGCCCAGGAGCAGAUGGUGUGACCUGGGCAAAGGGCUCAGAAGAAGGCCCCACCGGGCACCCCCGAGUGUCCCCAGAGCCUCUGUGUGUUCUGGGCACUGUUCCCAGAGCUGCCCUGAGCCAACCGCACAGUCACCACACCUACCUUUGGAGCAGGCAUUUGGCAGACAAGCAGGCAGAGCCCAGGGUUAGAACAAGCACUGCUCCGGCAGGAGGCAAGGGGACCCAGGCUGGCCCGAGCGCGUCCUCCCACCUGCCUCUUUGCCAGCUGCUGCCAAGCUUCGGAAACGAUCCUGGAAUUCAGCUCCGUCAGGGCUUUGCCUGGAUGGGCCAUGGUCUAGUGAGCAUUCAUAUUAAUAGUACUCAUUAAUAUUAAUCAGACCAAAUGUGAUGCAUGUCAUUUUGUUCUCACAACCACCCCAGGUACCACCUGUGACUCAGAUUAGGAGACCAAGGCUCAGAGAAGCCGAGCAGCCUGCCUGCCUCACGCGGGGCGGGGAGUGGGGGCAGUGCCAGAGUCCAAAGUCUGACCAUGUGGUCCAAAGCUCUGGCUGUCACCUGGACACGGCGCUGUCACCUGGACAUGACGCUGUCCCGAAGGCGCAGAGGCGACAGCGCCCGCACCCCACGCUCGAGCUUCAGAGACGCUUUGCUCACUUCACAGCUGACCCUAUUCCCA
This 1215-nucleotide long non-coding RNA is filed under the name Homo sapiens (human). RNAcentral's name for it is "HSALNT0355349". Lineage: Eukaryota; Metazoa; Chordata; Mammalia; Primates; Hominidae. The record is from RNAcentral.